RNAcentral lists this transfer RNA (80 nucleotides) under Felis catus (domestic cat). It matches the Rfam family "tRNA". Rfam says of the family: Transfer RNA (tRNA) molecules are approximately 80 nucleotides in length. The record is from Rfam by way of RNAcentral. Lineage: Eukaryota; Metazoa; Chordata; Mammalia; Carnivora; Felidae.
GCUCAGUUAGUUAAGCAAGCAUCUGACUUUGACUCAGGUCAUGAUCUCACAGUUUGUGAGUUCAAGCCCCACGUUGAGCU